AAAGGGGCAUAGCUCAGUGGUAGAACAUUCGACUGCAGAUCGAGAGGUCCCCGGUUCAAUACCGGGAACCCCCUUUA
This 77-nucleotide transfer RNA is filed under the name Dermacentor silvarum. Its description in RNAcentral is "transfer RNA cysteine (anticodon GCA)". It matches the Rfam family "tRNA". From Rfam's summary of the family: Transfer RNA (tRNA) molecules are approximately 80 nucleotides in length. Their secondary structure includes four short double-helical elements and three loops (D, anti-codon, and T loops). Further hydrogen bonds mediate the characteristic L-shaped molecular structure. tRNAs have two regions of fundamental functional importance: the anti-codon, which is responsible for specific mRNA codon recognition, and the 3' end, to which the tRNAs corresponding amino acid is attached (by aminoacyl-tRNA synthetases). tRNAs cope with the degeneracy of the genetic code in two manners: having more than one tRNA (with a specific anti-codon) for a particular amino acid; and 'wobble' base-pairing, i.e. permitting non-standard base-pairing at the 3rd anti-codon position. The record is from RNAcentral. Lineage: Eukaryota; Metazoa; Arthropoda; Arachnida; Ixodida; Ixodidae.